AUAGAUAGAUAGAUAGAUAGAUAGAUAGAUAGAUAGAUAGAUAGAUAGAUAGAUAGAUAGAUAGAUAGAUAGAUAGAUAGAGACUGCACUGUUUCCACACUGCCUAUGAGGGCAGCAUCCCAGGCUCACCAAAGCAUAGAAGAGUCCAGCAACUGAAUUUCAUAUUUCAUAUACCUCAAGUUCUCAAUUUCAUCACAGUGGCCAUCAGUGGUAUAUCCACAGGCCACAUCUACUGAGAAAGCCGGUUGUGUACAUGAGAUUUUUCUGAGAAAUGCCUGCAGUCUGGACUGGUUCAGACAAUCCCCAAUGGGUUUUGUGCUGAUGAAACUCAGGACUCAUCCCUAAUCAUAACAACUGCAUUUGCUAUGCUAGCUUUGCAAAGGCCUGGAAAACUUGUCAGGAAGGAAGGAGAACUCCUGAAGCUGCAACAAAUCCCCAAGUUACAAUAUUACAGAAGUUACAUCAUCUAAAAUAUUAAUAGAUAUAUUAUGGCAUAGGUGUUCAGCAAUGGCUGAGAUUUCACUUCCUCGACUCUGGUCAACAAAAGUGAAUUCAAUAAUUAAUGAUUUAGUC
This 573-nucleotide long non-coding RNA is filed under the name Pogona vitticeps (central bearded dragon). RNAcentral describes it as "lncRNA (ENSPVIG00000002258.1)". The record is from RNAcentral. Lineage: Eukaryota; Metazoa; Chordata; Lepidosauria; Squamata; Agamidae.